CCCUUAGAUGCUCUGGGCCGCACGCGCGCUACACUGGUCGAUGCAACGAGUUUCUUUCCUUGGCCGACAGGCCUGGGCAAUCUUUGAACAUCGAUCGUGAUCGGGAUAGAUUCUUGUAAUUUUUGAUCUUAAACGAGGAAUUCCUAGUAAACGCAAGUCAUCAGCUUGCAUUGAUUACGUCCCUGCCCUUUGUACACACCGCCCGUCGCACCUACCGAUUGAAUGGUCCGGUGAAAUCUCCGGACUGGCGUGAGUCGGAGCAAUCUGACAAACACCAGAAAGUUGAUUAAACCUUACCAUUUAGAGGAAGGUGAAGUCGUAACA
This 324-nucleotide ribosomal RNA is filed under the name uncultured eukaryote. RNAcentral's name for it is "partial 18S ribosomal RNA". It matches the Rfam family "Eukaryotic small subunit ribosomal RNA", at positions 1470 to 1796 of the family's 1831-position model. The record is from RNAcentral.